RNAcentral lists this unclassified non-coding RNA (211 nucleotides) under Hevea brasiliensis (rubber tree). The record is from RNAcentral. Lineage: Eukaryota; Viridiplantae; Streptophyta; Magnoliopsida; Malpighiales; Euphorbiaceae.
AGAUCAUUUCAAGCUCUUGAAGGUAUAUGCUUUGACUUUAAUUGAUCAAAUAUAACAUUGGAUCGGCAAUCAGCAGUUAGUCUAAUAUAUUAAUGUAGCUGUCUCAAAAUAAGUAUAAACUGUUGAUGGAGCUUUUACAUGGAAAGCUGAAGGCAAAGAUAUUAAAGUAAAUACAGAUUUAAGCUGGUUAUGAAACCUAUCCAUAAUUAAA